GUGCUCACUUCAGCAGCAUAUAUACUAAAAAUUGGAAUGAUACAGAGAAGAUUAUCAUGGCCCUGAGCAUGGAUGACCACACAAAUUAGUGAAGUGUUCCAUAUUUUA
Cercocebus atys (sooty mangabey) is the source of this 108-nucleotide small nuclear RNA. The record is from Ensembl. Lineage: Eukaryota; Metazoa; Chordata; Mammalia; Primates; Cercopithecidae.